Prolemur simus (greater bamboo lemur) is the source of this 104-nucleotide small nuclear RNA. The record is from Ensembl. NCBI's taxonomy places the organism in Eukaryota, Metazoa, Chordata, Mammalia, Primates, Lemuridae.
GUGCUCACUUUAAAAGCACAUACACUGAAACUGGAAUGAUAGAGAGAUUAGCAUGGCCCCUAUGCAAAGAUGACAGGUAAAUCAAUGAAGUGUUCCAUAUAAAA